AGUGAACGCUGGCGGUAGGCCUAACACAUGCAAGUCGAACGGCAGCAUAGGAGAGCUUGCUCUCUGGGUGGCGAGUGGCGGACGGGUGAGGAAUACAUCGGAAUCUACCUUUUCGUGGGGGAUAACGUAGGGAAACUUACGCUAAUACCGCAUACGACCUACGGGUGAAAGUGGGGGACCGCAAGGCCUCACGCGAUUAGAUGAGCCGAUGUCCGAUUAGCUAGUUGGCGGGGUAAUGGCCCACCAAGGCGACGAUCGGUAGCUGGUCUGAGAGGAUGAUCAGCCACACUGGAACUGAGACACGGUCCAGACUCCUACGGGAGGCAGCAGUGGGGAAUAUUGGACAAUGGGCGCAAGCCUGAUCCAGCCAUACCGCGUGGGUGAAGAAGGCCUUCGGGUUGUAAAGCCCUUUUGUUGGGAAAGAAAUCCUAUCGGUUAAUAACCGGUGGGGAUGACGGUACCCAAAGAAUAAGCACCGGCUAACUUCGUGCCAGCCGCCGCCGUAA
This 506-nucleotide ribosomal RNA is filed under the name uncultured bacterium. RNAcentral's name for it is "partial 16S ribosomal RNA". It matches the Rfam family "Bacterial small subunit ribosomal RNA", at positions 29 to 523 of the family's 1533-position model. The record is from RNAcentral.